GAGAGUUAAACAGUACGUGAAAUUGUUGAAAGGGAAACGAUUGAAGCCAGUCGUACCUUCGGGUAAUCAGCCUUUCGGGUGCGAUUCUGUGGAGUUUGAGGAGCUUAACACCUUCAUGCUUUGCAUAUUUGUGCUCUUGGGUGUACUUGCCCGUGUGGUUGGUUAACAUCAAUUUCGGGCACCAUAAAAUGGCUGGAGGAAUGUAGCUUCGAUCUCGUAUUGAAGUGUUAUAGCCUUCGGUAGAUGUGGGGAUCGAGAUUGAGGAUUGCAACGGAUACCUUUCGGGGCUACCUGUCUGAUCUCUGAUCGUUGCUUUGGUGCUGAAAGCGUGCUUAUAGUUAUCAAAGUCGAUGGUCAAUAGGUUAGAAUGGGUUAAAUUCGUUAAGGAUGUUGACGUAAUGGCUUUAAACGA
This 412-nucleotide ribosomal RNA is filed under the name uncultured Rhizophagus. RNAcentral's name for it is "partial 28S ribosomal RNA". Lineage: Eukaryota; Fungi; Glomeromycota; Glomeromycetes; Glomerales; Glomeraceae. The record is from RNAcentral.